This 4890-nucleotide long non-coding RNA is filed under the name Lynx pardinus (Iberian lynx). Lineage: Eukaryota; Metazoa; Chordata; Mammalia; Carnivora; Felidae. The record is from RNAcentral.
UCUACUUGACCUCCACUUCAUAGAGUGCAGGCAGGUAUCCUUAAAACAAAACUCAUUAUGAUAAGUUACCCUUUUGUUUUCAUCUUCUGCCUGUAGGAUUUUAUCUCUAGGAAGUAGAGAAUAAGGCAGAAAUUCUGCCCCACUCUACCCAGUGUUCUCUCUUAUAAAUCUGAAUUGCAGAUUAUUCCGCAAUUCUUAUUUGAAGGUGGCUGCAGAAAUCUUGAAAAUUUUCCACCUUUACCUUUCUUUUUUAAAGAUCAAUCUCAAAUCUUAAUUUUGUUUUUCUUUUCCCUUUGCUUGAAGUCUUAAAACUAAAGAGAUUGAAUAAUUGGACUUUUUCCUUUGUGGCUAUGGACAAGCAUGACAGGAAAGUGUGGGCAAAGUGUAAAGGGAAACCUUACCUGACCAAGGGGAAUUGGGGUGGGGAAUUGGGGUUGCGGGAUGGAAAUGAGGGCAGAGAAGCUGGAGGAGAAACGGAGUCCUCUGCAGCUAGCAGCCAGGGAUCCUUAGCCAGCCAGACUUGCAGAGUCAUCAAUCUCCAAGACUAGUUCUUAAACAAAUUAACCCAGCCCUGUUCUGAGCAACUAAACUUCUAGGGAAUGAAGAGCUCCUGGCUGCUGGGCACCAGGGAUCCCCGGGGGCUGAGGCUGCGCUCUGGAUGCCAGAAUGCUUACAAGAGGGCUGAAAAUGAAUGACCUAACUAGAACCAUCUCGGCAUGGAAUCUUCCUGACAGAGUCAUAAUCAAUGACUUCAGUUCUGAGAAGAAAUUUCUCUUGAGCUCUUUGAAGAAAUGGACGAAGAGAAUGAGAGGGGUUUUCAGUGCCUACAUGUUCCUUUUUGAGCAGAAGGCUGUGGCUUGCCAAAUGAAUUACCUCUCAAAAUGUCUGGGGCUCAAUACUCCCUGCUUUGCAAGGCUGUAAUAUUUCCUGGUCCCACCCUGUUCAUCUGCAGCUAUAUCCUACGUAACAUUUUAUCUAACAAUUUUCUUGUCCACACUUGCUGGGGGAAAGCAUCCCUAGUUCUAAAAUCCUAAUUUCAGGCUCUUAAAAAACGGUUUUAGAAAUUUCCCCUCGGGGCUGAACUCAGCCUGACUUGAAGAACGUUAGUGGAGAACUGCCUUCUUUGGGAAUACUGGAUUAAUUGAAAUUAAAUCAUUUUGUCUACUUCUAAAACAAAUUCCCUGAAAAAAAAAAAAGAACUGAAAACAAAAAAGUUUUUCUUUUGCACUUGGAUUAUUCAAAACGAGCUUUGUUUUCAAAACUGCAAACUUGGCAUGUUAGCAGUCCUUCCUGAGGAAUGUGUGCUGUGUUAAAAAGUGAAAAAAAAAAUACUGUUAGAAGAAACAGAGUUAGGAAUCUCCUACUGAGCAGAUGCAGUAAGUAUGUAUGUAUCUGUAUUUUUACGGUCUGAAUGUGUACCCACUGGCAUUCUCUUAGCAACAUUCAUCUAUAAAUACUUUUAGAGAAGGAAAAGAAACAUGCAUAUACUAUAGAAUUGUUAGCAAGGUGGUAAAUUUGGGAGCUGGGAUUGCACAAAAGGUGAGUGCUUGAGUCUCUCUCUUCCUACUCUUUCUCCUUAUUCUUUGGAUGACCUACCACCUGUAGGCUGGCUUAGAGUUCUAUGAAAUAAUUUCUCUGAAUUGCAUGAACGUGGCACAGGAGUGUUCACACAGAAGGGGGCGCAAAUUGGAGAAGGCUGCAGUUGAAUGGACAUCUUAGAUUUCAUCUUGUUUUGAACACUCCAUGGGGGAUUGCCUAGUUUGAUGGUUAAGUAAGAGAAUUUUUUCAAAGCGGAGUAUGAAGUCUGUGUCAGCACAAGUGACUUGGUUUGGUGACACAGGCAGCCUUCGUGUUUGAACACCUUACCCUAAAGAAGAGGUCAUCCUCUUUCUCUUUUCAUGGUAGUUUAAUUCAUGAAUCUAACUGAUUCUAUAUUUCUCUUUCCAAACUUCUUUAAGGAUCAGGAACUAAAAUGAUCAAAUGUGAAGCUUUCAGUCUGGAAGUAAAAUGAAAAAGGAUAAAGCAUAAGAAAUUGAGUUGCCAGGAGCACCUUAAACAAGCAAAUCAAAUUUCAAAUAAAUUAAUCUUUACAAUAUCUAACAUUGUGCGUUCAAAAUGAAGGUAAGAUCAAGAAACAGCAUAUGCUGAACUUGUCUUUAUAGAGGAAUCAGAGUGUGGAAAAAUAUGGUGUCUUGAAGAGCCUCCUCCCCACCCAGCUUUUAUUAACUUGUUGGGUGUGCAGGCUAGAGAGACUGCCCUGUCUUUGCUGCCAGUUAACCUUGGUGACAUACACAUUCACCUAUUUCAGAGAGCUGCUGGAGUAACUGAAGAAAUAAUGUAAGAAAUAUGUACUUAUUCAUAGCGGCUUUUAUCAUGAUCAUAGUUUUCCUACUUAGUAAGCGUUUUUAUCUUUUCUGUCUAAUCAUCAAGCAAUUUAAAUAUAAAUCUAAUGGUUUAUAUUCUGUGUUUUUCCAGAUAAAGUUCCUACUCUGAUUACUCCUAACUUUCAUCUCUCUACACUUCAAGGGAUUUCCUUUUUUCACAAAUGGCUUUUCCUGAAGCCUUAAAUCCUAUUUCCAUUGUUUUGAUUGAUUCUUCCUGCACAAAACAUGUUGUUUUUGCCAGUGACCACAAGAGGACACAAUUUCCUAGAGAACUUUGUUUAAAAAGACACUUGUAGAAGGCUUACAAAAUAGCAAAAAAUAUUGCACAGUGAAUGUCAUUUUGGGGAUGCCUAUUUCAUUUAUGUCACUUUUCUUAAUUAAGUAACUUUGAUGUAAACUAAAAAAAUUAAAACUUAAAAAAUAAAAAUCAUUUUAAAAAUAAAUGAAAAAACCAUAUAUACACAUAAGUUGGUAUUCAAACCUGGGAUGUCUUGGAAGAUUUUAUCUUUUUAUUGUGGAAAAUAAAAGAAGAACAUGUAUGAAAAUAUACUAAAAAGUACCAUUUUAAGGGAAAACAUUUAUUUUGCAUUAGUAGAGGUUUGUACAAAACUCUGAGUGAUCUGGAAUUUUACUUGCUCAAUUUUAGAGCCAUGUUUGGCAAUGAAAAACAAUCUUUUUUAAAAAGUAUGUUACUAUUCCAGAAUACCUUUGAAAGUUUGAAUUUUUAGUUUCAGCAUUUGGGUUGUCUUUAUGUGAACAAAUGCAUGGAAAUUAUGUUUUAUGAUUUGCCAGUUCUAUUUUAACGCAUGUCAUAAGAACUAAAUUAUUUUUGAAAGAUAUGGAAAAAUAGGAUAUUAAGAUACAGAUUCCCAACACUUCCCCCAAAUUAUGAUACACACUCUUUAAUUUAAGGUCACCGUCCUCUUUCCUAUUACUUCUUCUCAAAAAAGAUUUCAGAGCAUCUGAUUACUUUGUAAAUUAAAUUAAAAUGAAUUAUGUCUUGAUAUUUUUUUAGAUGAAUUUUCUAAUUCUGGUAGAAUGCCCUUGACAGUCAAACUGGGGAAUCGCUGCUUCAUUUGGAACUCAAUGCUUUUUUUGUUUUGCAUUUGUGUCUUCUUGCAGAUACAUUCCUAAUCACACUCUCUGAGACCCUGCUGGAGGAACUGAGCUGUGGACCAGAGAUGCUGGAAAGAGAAGAAAAGAAAAGGACAAGAAGGAAAAACCAGAGCAAAAAUGAGAACAAGACAGAGAAGAAUGUGAAGAGCGUGUAAGAGGGCGCUGGGACAACUGGUGGGAGACCGAAAGAGAAAAAGAAUAAGGCUUAAUAUGGAGGGGUCAGUGACAAGAGAAAAGGCUUACAUCUGAAAGGAAAGAAAGAAAUGCAUUUAGUGGGAAAUAGAAAAGCACCUGGAUUAUUUGCCUCAGUUUCUGCUCACAGAGAUUGUUGUAAGUAGCUACCUGUCCCUUGGUGUAGGCAUUUGAUUUUAAAAAUCCCUGUCAUUCUCGCUGAAGUGCUAACAAAAAGUAAGGAACUUGGUGGAGGGCUGGGAAACUUUUAAUUGAGGGUAAUGUUCCUUGAAUAGAUACGGUCUAUCUGGAAUUAGAGUAAAGGUAUUACAUGUUGUCGUUCUUGCCUCUCAAGAUGGUAGAGGGGAAGACGUCUGGGGGGACACUUGAUGCCAUUACUGUGUGAAAAAUGCUUUGAAUUAUGGUAGGAUUUUAGAAAUCCUGGCUCAUUGUUUUCUAUUUGACCUCCAUAAUGGAGAUCAAACUUGGUGUUUUUUCCCUGUGGUUAGCCAGCAUCAAUGCCUUUGUCUUCCCCACCUCAGAUACCUCAAGGAAGACAUAGUUGUAGUGAUAUAUUUUAUUCUCACUCACUCCUACUCAAGACCUUGAGAGAUUGUGAGGUUCUGGUUCUGCCUAAUGGUGCAUUCAGGAGACCUGAAUUGUGGUUUCAACUGGCACUAAUUAGUUAUAACGUGUCUAUUGAUUCUUUCAUAAUUUAACAAAAAUGUGUCCAUCUCUAAUUAUGUUAGGUACUUGGAGUAAGAAUAUUUAGCCCCUGACAUCAAGGAUGUCACAGACUAAUGAGAAAUAAAAUCUGAAAACUGUUUUGUGGCAUGGAGAGCUAACUACUGUGAUGGAUAUUUCAAAGAGUGCCAAGGACCCUGGACCUGGUCUGAGGUGACAGGAUGCCUUGGUGCAUUGGGAGAUUACCCCACUGCAAUGAUAGCCUCCAAAUAUAUUUCCAGGAAGCUUGUCCCAGCCAGAGACACACACAGAAAGGCCCACAGACCAAGUGAAGAUGUACAUAUCAACCUGGUUUAUUAAGUUGAUUAGGAACAUACAGUAAGAAAGGGAAUUACAGUAGGUUAAUAUACUAGAAUAGGUAGCAAACAGGCAGGAAGGGCCAUGCUACCCAAAUCCUGGAGUACACAGGUUCACGGUGACUCUGCCCUCCAGCAGCCUUCCUUGCUGAUGGUGUGGUUAAGAGGUCCAAAGUGAG